RNAcentral lists this microRNA (24 nucleotides) under Oryza sativa (Asian cultivated rice). RNAcentral describes it as "osa-miR1878". Lineage: Eukaryota; Viridiplantae; Streptophyta; Magnoliopsida; Poales; Poaceae. The record is from miRBase by way of RNAcentral. RNAcentral also lists the same sequence under 1 other name.
ACUUAAUCUGGACACUAUAAAAGA